CUAGGAAAACCGAAAACAGUUCUAGACAGACCUGCGGUUUUAUAGCAGUUUUGGCAGUCAACUUCAGCUUGUGCCUGAGCAGACGGGGCUCUGGUGGCCUGCCAGCGGGGGAUGCCAGGCCACCUCCCCCAGCGGCACGCAGCCCCUCUCUUAAUUAGAUCGGUUUUCCCCUGGUGUCCGGGAGAGCGGUCCCGGCAGAAAGGAGGUCCAACAGCCGAGCUUAGCCCACCGGGCUCUGGGAAAGACCCGACUGAGGCUAAAGCCGCCCCGGAAGGCCAAGUCCGAGUUCCAUUUCUUGAAGAGGCCGGCGCGCGUAAGGCUGUGACAUUGGCCCUGGCGACUGGCUUCCCAGGAGCUGUUCUUUCUCAGGAGCUCCACAGCGCGGGCCAUCUCCAGAAAACUGUCUUCAGAGUGUAUUUCCUUUUAUCGUCAACCCAGAGCCCCACCGCGGCUAAUGCAAGAGGCCAAAAAAUGUUUGGAGGAAGAAAAACAAAGGCAGGAAGUGGCGGCCGCCUGACGGUGCGUGUGUGUCUGCAGAGAAGGGAGGGAGCCGGCUCAGUCUCUUCUUGUUUUUCCAAACUUCAAGGUCCAGGCAGCCCUCUGCAGGGCCGGGCCCCAUUGCUCCCCGCGCGGCAUUGGAGGUGGCCACCCGGAGAGGAGAAGGCCAACGCCUGCGCCAGGCUUGUCAGGCGGAAACGGCUAACAAGGAGAUUUGGUCAGCAAAACAGACCGAGCCUUUCCGAGGCUUCGUCUGACUUGGCCCGAAAGGUUGGGGAGGGGGGGCUUGCUCAGAGCCUCAGGGACCCUCCUCUCUGGGGACUA
This 822-nucleotide antisense RNA is filed under the name Pan troglodytes (chimpanzee). The stretch from base 1 to 203 matches the Rfam family "HOXA11 antisense RNA 1 conserved region 5". The record is from RNAcentral. Lineage: Eukaryota; Metazoa; Chordata; Mammalia; Primates; Hominidae.